Molecule: unclassified non-coding RNA, 211 nt
Filed under: plant metagenome
Description: partial contains small subunit ribosomal RNA, internal transcribed spacer 1, and 5.8S ribosomal RNA
Source: RNAcentral
UUUCCGUAGGUGAACCUGCGGAAGGAUCAUUCAUAAUAAAGUGUUUUAUGGCACUUUUUAAAAAUCCAUAUCCACCUUGUGUGCAAUGUUAGAUCUCGUCAAUCUUGGCGAGAUUUUUAUACAUCAACUCAUUCUUUAACUAAUUUGUCUGAUAAAUAUUAUGAAUACUUAAUUCAAAAUACAACUUUCAACAACGGAUCUCUUGGCUCUC